UACGUAGGGUGCGAGCGUUAAUCGGAAUUACUGGGCGUAAAGCGUGCGCAGGCGGUUUCGUAAGCUGGAGGUGAAAUCCCCGGGCUUAACCUGGGAAUGGCCUUCAGGACUGCGAGGCUAGAGUGCGGCAGAGGGAGGUGGAAUUCCACGUGUAGCAGUGAAAUGCGUAGAUAUGUGGAGGAACACCGAUGGCGAAGGCAGCCUCCUGGGCCAGCACUGACGCUCAUGCACGAAAGCGUGGGGAGCAAACAGG
Molecule: ribosomal RNA, 253 nt
Filed under: uncultured bacterium
Lineage: Bacteria
Description: partial 16S ribosomal RNA
Rfam family: Bacterial small subunit ribosomal RNA
Source: RNAcentral